CCGGCACGGGUGAGUAACACGUAUCCAACCUGCCGUCUACUCUUGGCCAGCCUUCUGAAAGGAAGGAUUAAUCCAGGAUGGCAUCAUGAGUUCACAUGUCCGCAUGAUUAAAGGUAUUUUCCGGUAGACGAUGGGGAUGCGUUCCAUUAGAUAGUAGGCGGGGUAACGGCCCACCUAGUCAACGAUGGAUAGGGGUUCUGAGAGGAAGGUCCCCCACAUUGGAACUGAGACACGGUCCAA
Molecule: ribosomal RNA, 240 nt
Filed under: uncultured bacterium
Lineage: Bacteria
Description: partial 16S ribosomal RNA
Rfam family: Bacterial small subunit ribosomal RNA
Source: RNAcentral